Molecule: small nuclear RNA, 23 nt
Filed under: Arabidopsis thaliana (thale cress)
Lineage: Eukaryota; Viridiplantae; Streptophyta; Magnoliopsida; Brassicales; Brassicaceae
Description: snRNA_18434
Source: RNAcentral
AGCUCAACUCUCUCCAUUUGCUU